RNAcentral lists this long non-coding RNA (257 nucleotides) under Anser brachyrhynchus (Pink-footed goose). RNAcentral's name for it is "lncRNA (ENSABRG00000011339.1)". Lineage: Eukaryota; Metazoa; Chordata; Aves; Anseriformes; Anatidae. The record is from RNAcentral.
CAGCACUCGGACUUCAUGCAGUGAGUGAAAAAGAUAAAGCCCCACUCGCUCUGUCCACCUUGAAUGAGGAGUCAAGAACAUCGCAAAUGCAACAGCAGAACAAAUGUGGACCAUCUUGCAUUCACCAGCCACAUCUGACUGCUGUUGGCAGCAUAUGAAGCAAAAAAAGACAUCAAGGCUCAGUGAGAAGUCUUGGAAAAGAAUGACGAAGGACUUCACCUUCCUGAUGAACUGACAGAUGAAGAGAAAAAUCCAAA